AGUAGAGUCAGCUAAUUAAGCUUUUGGGCCCAUACCCCAAAAAUGUAGGUUAAACUCCUGCCUCUGCAA
This 69-nucleotide transfer RNA is filed under the name Polydactylus sextarius (blackspot threadfin). Its description in RNAcentral is "tRNA-Met". It matches the Rfam family "tRNA". Rfam says of the family: Transfer RNA (tRNA) molecules are approximately 80 nucleotides in length. Their secondary structure includes four short double-helical elements and three loops (D, anti-codon, and T loops). Further hydrogen bonds mediate the characteristic L-shaped molecular structure. tRNAs have two regions of fundamental functional importance: the anti-codon, which is responsible for specific mRNA codon recognition, and the 3' end, to which the tRNAs corresponding amino acid is attached (by aminoacyl-tRNA synthetases). tRNAs cope with the degeneracy of the genetic code in two manners: having more than one tRNA (with a specific anti-codon) for a particular amino acid; and 'wobble' base-pairing, i.e. permitting non-standard base-pairing at the 3rd anti-codon position. Lineage: Eukaryota; Metazoa; Chordata; Actinopteri; Polynemidae. The record is from RNAcentral.